GUGGGGAAUAUUGCACAAUGGGCGAAAGCCUGAUGCAGCAACGCCGCGUGAGGGACGACGGCCUUCGGGUUGUAAACCUCUUUUAGUAGGGAAGAAGCGAAAGUGACGGUACCUGCAGAAAAAGCACCGGCUAACUACGUGCCAGCAGCCGCGGUAAUACGUAGGGUGCAAGCGUUAUCCGGAAUUAUUAGGCGUAAAGAGCUCGUAGGCGGUCUGUCGCGUCUGCUGUGAAAACUGGAGGCUCAACCUCCAGCCUGCAGUGGGUACGGGCAGACUAGAGUGCGGUAGGGGAGAUUGGAAUUCCUGGUGUAGCGGUGGAAUGCGCAGAUAUCAGGAGGAACACCGAUGGCGAAGUCAGAUCUCUGGGCCGUAACUGACGCUGAGGAGCGAAAGCGUGGGGAGCGAACAGGAUUAGAAACCCGAGUAGUCC
This 430-nucleotide ribosomal RNA is filed under the name uncultured bacterium. Its description in RNAcentral is "bacterial SSU rRNA". It matches the Rfam family "Bacterial small subunit ribosomal RNA", at positions 354 to 796 of the family's 1533-position model. The record is from RNAcentral.